This 30-nucleotide non-coding RNA is filed under the name Rattus norvegicus (Norway rat). The record is from RNAcentral. Lineage: Eukaryota; Metazoa; Chordata; Mammalia; Rodentia; Muridae.
UCCUGUUGGAGCAAGUUUCCUUCCUACAGU